Long non-coding RNA from Gadus morhua (Atlantic cod), 1166 nucleotides. RefSeq lists it as uncharacterized. The record is from RefSeq and is a predicted model, not a curated record. The transcript has 3 exons. Lineage: Eukaryota; Metazoa; Chordata; Actinopteri; Gadiformes; Gadidae.
AAAAAACAAGUACGAUUUACCCCAAAUCUAUGCUAAAACGUUAAAUAAAAACCAAACACAAGUGCCAAUAAAUGUUUGUUUUAUUUAUGAACCAUCUGUCAUCAGGAAAAGGAACCAAGUGCAACAGAACAAAACAAAGAAGUGCAGGGACCGGGAGCUGUGGAGGAACCGGAACUGAGUGGAACAGAACUAAACAAAGAAGCUCAGGAACAGGGGGUUGAGAAUGUAGAGGUGCAGCAGGAGGAGGUGCCUCAGCAGGAGGGACAACAGGAUAACCCUUCCCAAACAGAGGAAGAGCUCAAUACCCCUGAGGAUAUUUUAGUUUCCCCAUACCAACCAGAUGCACAGCUAAUUGAGCCACAAACUCUGCCCAACCGCACUCUCCGAUUCCAGGAGAGCUGGUUCAAAGACUACCCCUGGCUACAUUACAGUUCUGAAAUUAAAGGAGUUUUGUGUUUCUACUGUGUAAAGGCCUUUAAACAUAAUAUUCCAACAAUGGCCAGAAAUACAGAACAAACCUUCAUUUCCUUGGGGUUCAGGAACUGGAAGAAGGGUAGGGGGGCGUUCGACAAGCACACCAACAGUAAGGCACACAUUGUUGCUGUAAACAAACACACACAUACACACAACUCUGUCAGGAUGCAACUUUGCAGCAUCUCAGAAAAAUCACAAGAAGCAGCCAGGUCAGCACUGGUAAAGAUUGUGAGUUCACUGAGGUACCUUGCUAGACAGGGAUUAGCUCUCAGAGGCCAUGACAAUGAUGAGGGAAACUUCAAGCAGCAUCUGGAGGAGAAGGCUGAGAGUGACCCAAAACUGGCAAGCUGGUUGCUGAGAAACCAUGCCUACACAAGUCCUGAGUGUCAGAAUGAGAUACUGCAGUUAAUGAGCAACGCUAUUAUCAGGCAAAUAGCUAAAAACAUCCAUGCUUUACCUGUACUGCAGUACUCCUUGAUAAUGGACGGAACACAGGAUAUAUCUGGCACGGAACAGAUUUCAAUUUGCCUCCGGUAUGUGGAUGCUGACCUUGAGCCAAGGGAGGACUUUGUUGGUCUGUACGAGGCCUCUUCAACGACCGGUGAGCACCUUUUUAGAAUUGCCUCUGAUGUGCUGCUCCGUCUAAACCUGCCGUUCUCUGGUCUUCGUGGGCAGACCUACGAUGGCGCAGC